GCCUCCUUUCCUUGGCAGUUUGCUGGCUCCGUGAUCUGAAGGUUCUGGGUUCAAAUGUGACCUCAUCUGCCUUGCUGAGGCUCCAGAGCCUGCCUGGUUCUCCUUUAGUGCCCGGUGGGGACCGAGAGGCCGUGGCCGCCCCUCCCUUGGACUCCAAAGCGGGGUGCCCGAAGGCGGCUCCCCUCUCCGUCAUGGCUCAGGGAGCCCCGUGUGGCCUGGGCUGAGGGGCUUCCCCAGUCUGUGGGGCCCCCUCUGUUCCCCGCACGACAUCCCCCCACAAGGGACCCCGAACCAGCCCAGUCAGAAGGUGCUUCCCGAGCACUGAGCCAGGUGGGCUGCCCGGGUGUCCCCGCCAGCUUCCAGGGUGUUCAUGGGAAGGGCCCAAGUUUGAGGCCCGGCCCUGGGCAGCCCCCCGGGGAGGGGGUUCUUUCGGUGGCUUCUCCCCUCCCAGGCUGGCUCACUGCCAGGGAAAGCUCCAUUUAUGUGAAUCAGGGCUGGGGGACUGGGGGGGGUCUGCUAGCCCAGAGAGUCCCAGGCUUGACUGGGGCCUCUGAGCCUCGGUUUCCUCAUCUCCCAAAUGGGGCUACGUCCAGACGAGGCUUGAACCCAUCAGCCCCUCCCCACGUUCCAAAGGGCCCUAUUGCUGCUGUCCCCAGGCAGCACCCUGGCUGCCUCCCUCCCCUUGAGGCUGCCUGCCAGGACCCAGCAGCUGGAGUCCUCCAGGGGGGAAUUGGCUUUUGCCUCUUUUUGAACCCCCAGGCUUAGCGGUGCCUAAAGGAGCCUUGUGGGCCCUGUUCAGCCCUGAGGCUGAGCCCUGAGAGAGACUGGAGGGUGGGCCAUUUCCUCCUCCAGCUCAUUUUACAGAUGGGGAAACUGAGGCCAUCAGGGUGAAGUGACUUGUCCAGGGUCACCCAGCUAGGAAGUGUCAGCACGAUGAGCCUGUAGGUAGGGAGGUGCCACCUAUUACCUGUGAAAGCCAGUCUAGGAGUGUGAAGGAGAUGGGGGCCUGCAGGGGCUGGUGGUCCGGUGUCAGCCCGGGGGGUCCCCAGGAAGAGGAGGGGCUCAGGCGGGGUGGCCUCUCGGCCCCUCCCAGCUCUGAGCUCCCGGAGCUGGGUUCCAAAGCUGCCUUCCUCCCCGGGCAGGGCAGGAAUGAUCCCCAGGGCCCCGGAUGCUGCUGGAUCCUCAGUUGCACCUGUCGAGCCCCCCCAUCCCCCCAAGGCCUAGGGGCUGGGCUCCAGGGCGGACACAAACGAGCAGCCCGGGGGCGGCCCCCCUGGCCCCUCGGGAGCGCCGGCCUCUCGGGCCGGCCCGGGUCCGAGAGGCUGCGCAGAGGCGCUCGGGGCAGCUGCACCGCGAGCCUGUGGCCAGCAGGAGGAAGAGGAAGUGAGAGCAGCGGCAACGGUGGCGGAGGCGGCGGCAGCAGCAGCAGCGGCGGGGACGGGGACGCGGGGGGGGG
This 1456-nucleotide long non-coding RNA is filed under the name Monodelphis domestica (gray short-tailed opossum). RNAcentral describes it as "lncRNA (ENSMODG00000043206.1)". The record is from RNAcentral. Lineage: Eukaryota; Metazoa; Chordata; Mammalia; Didelphimorphia; Didelphidae.